This is a long non-coding RNA of Sphaeramia orbicularis (orbiculate cardinalfish), 577 nucleotides long. RefSeq lists it as uncharacterized. NCBI's taxonomy places the organism in Eukaryota, Metazoa, Chordata, Actinopteri, Kurtiformes, Apogonidae. The record is from RefSeq and is a predicted model, not a curated record. The transcript is spliced from 2 exons.
CACCGUUACAAUAUGAACCUGGUCAAAGUCACUCACAUUUUUUACAUUUCUCAUUUUGCUGCUUCCAACACAUCAGCUUCAAGGACUAAAUGUUCAUUUGCUGUCUAAUGUAUCCAACCCACUGAAUGGUGCCAAUGUAAAGAAAUAAUCAAUAGUAAUUACCAAUUCUCCUGUCAGUGGGCAGUGUUAUGGUUGAUUAGUGUAUGCUACUUGUUUAAGAACAAAACUCAACUCCCAAUACUUACAAUGUUGCCAGAUUAACAAGGUUUUAUCAAAUGGUUUUAAUCACAAACCCACACUUUACUGUGGUCAACAGAUAAUUCAGAGACAUAAUAAUCAUCACUACCUCAUCAGACACUCUUUUUUUUCCCUCAUUGACGUCUUUUCAUCAUUUUAAGCUCCACUGUAACACUGUUACAUAACUGUAGUUUUUGGGGGGUUUUGUGAGAAAUGGGGCAACAUUAGACACACAUCUGUUUUAAUGUAUAUACUUUGAUUUACUUUACUUAAGUCUUCUUUUAUGGGCAUCAACUCAAGCGAGAAGAUAACAGACAUUUUAACAGUGACUUUAUGCAGA